This 105-nucleotide transfer RNA is filed under the name Promethearchaeota archaeon. RNAcentral describes it as "Candidatus Lokiarchaeota archaeon tRNA-Ala". It matches the Rfam family "tRNA". Rfam says of the family: Transfer RNA (tRNA) molecules are approximately 80 nucleotides in length. Their secondary structure includes four short double-helical elements and three loops (D, anti-codon, and T loops). The record is from RNAcentral. Lineage: Archaea; Promethearchaeati; Promethearchaeota.
GGGCCUGUAGAUCAGCGGAAGAUCGCUUGAUUCGCAAGACACCAUUCAAUUCGCAGUGUCCUUGACUUCAAGAGGCCACGGGUUCAAUUCCCGUCAGGUCCACCA